AUGAGAGUCUAUGAGCACAACAUAAUAAUCAUGAUCUUCAGAGAACUAAAAGACUGCUACACAAAACAACAUUUAAGAACAGGCAAAUUCAAAACCUGGUGCUACCUACCAAGAAUGAAAGGUACACAGAAGAGAAAAACUUUAAAACAGAAGCACUGGAAGACCCAGAGAAGAAUGGCACAUGAGAUGGCUAAAUUUUAAACAAAACAUGGGCCAGCCUUCUCCUUUUCAGCCCUUUCUUCAUGCAGCAGAAAGUGGCUGGAAGAAAACCUGAAAGCCUGG
RNAcentral lists this long non-coding RNA (282 nucleotides) under Anser brachyrhynchus (Pink-footed goose). RNAcentral's name for it is "lncRNA (ENSABRG00000002707.1)". The record is from RNAcentral. Lineage: Eukaryota; Metazoa; Chordata; Aves; Anseriformes; Anatidae.